Molecule: long non-coding RNA, 250 nt
Filed under: Apteryx owenii (little spotted kiwi)
Lineage: Eukaryota; Metazoa; Chordata; Aves; Apterygiformes; Apterygidae
Description: lncRNA (ENSAOWG00000002555.1)
Source: RNAcentral
CACAUAUACCCUCACCCCCACGCCUGCCGAGCUGAUGCCAAGUGCCCCGAACAUCAAGCAAAGGCCCUGCUCAGGUCAGGCUGUUGCCUGUGGGUGGAGAGGAGGGGCCCAGCGUAGCCACAUAUCCAAAGUUGUACUUCCCAUCGACCCUGCACUGAGCCAGCCAUGGAGGGGAGACUCUGGGCCGUGUGCCUGCUCUUCCUCUAUCUCCUCCUCCUCCUCUGGUCAGAGGGAACAUCUCCUGAUGUGA